AUUAACUCAUCGCUUGUCAGAGAGCAUGGGAGCAAUUAUAUUUCUCCUGAUUCUGGCGCUUCUCAAGGACUAUGGUCAUGGAGCGCCACAGGAAGGUAUUACUGUGUGUGUUUCUCUGGGUUUAAUGACUACUGGUGGCACUCAACAAUGCUUGGACAUAGACAAGUGUGUUGGGAUCCCAGAUAUUUGUGGGAAAUGGGGAACCUGUCGUAAUCAGGGUUGUAUCUACCUGUGCACGUGUCCCAAUGGAUUUAGGAACUCUGGCAACGGACAAACUCCGUGUGUAGACAUUGACGAGUGUAAUACAGACGGAGUAUGUGGAAAUGUGGGCAUCUGUCAAAACCUGAUUGGCAGUUACUGGUGCCAGUGUCCUGCUGGAUUUACUAACUUUGGCAAAAACCAAGCUAAGUGUGUAGAGCUUAAUUGUGACCAGUAUGAAACACAGGCUGGACAGACUCUACCAGGCCUUGAUAGUUUAUUGUCUCUGUUGAGAAACAACUGUUUGGUGUUGAGCAACUCUAUGUUGCCUGGACCGACAAGACUGCUGCCAACUGGAGAUGUGCUUUUUACAUUACUGGUUAAUACCACUGAUGUUGUUCAACUGGGCCUCCAGUCCAAUGGUCACCGUAGUAGCAGUGAAGUGACUAAGUUACUGAGGACGAUUGAAAUCUCUAUCAGACUGAUCGCUCCACUGCUGACAGAGAACGUGACCAGGAUAGAGACCAACCACACAGAGGUUGAGAUUAUGGUGAGGAGAGACAAGACUCCACCUGAAGGACCAGUCAGCCUGACCAAUGAGAACACACAACUUGACACCACCUGGGAGACGGUGGUUGGAGAUGACCAGAAUUACCCAGGGUUUGCGUAUGUCGUUCUGCUCAACUAUAGGAAUCUGGAUAGUCUGAAGGACAACACUUCUCAUCAGAGCCAGCAGCUCAUGUCCAGUGCUGCGACAGUUUCCGUUAGCAACUCCAACACAACAUACCUGCCCCAACAGGGAAGCGGGCAGCUGUCGUUGGUGAUGUGGGUGGGUGUUUUUGUGGCACUGACCUGUGUGUUCCUGUCCCUGAUCACCACCCUGUGGUGUCGCUUUGUCAGCCGCAAACGCCGUGGAGGACACCGGCAGCAACAGGAUGUACAGCUACAUAGAAAAUAAGACAUGGAUUUGAACUAUUUGUGUUCUAAGAAAAGCUUUACUUGGAAUUAAUUUGUAACAUUGUCUCUUGGCUUGCAAGGACAUCCACAUGCCAGCAAUUAAAAAAAAAAAAGUAUUAUAAAAUGUAUCAAAAAAAACUAAAAUAUAAGAACACAACUUUAUAUUAAUAGAUAUACAAUAUCUCAUGUAUAGAACUCUUAGUUCUAGACUGUAGCAUAUGAGCUCUUAACUAUAUGUCAAAAUACAUACGUCAUUUUAGGCUCACGAGUUUUACUUAUAAUUUGUGGCAUGAAUCUUCCUAGAAUAGUGGUAUAUCCACCCAACGCUGCAUUUGUCAAGUAUCAAGCCACUUUGUUGUUGUUGUAACUAUUUUCUGAGAGCUAAUUAAGUGAAAAUAAUAUUUGGCCCUGUCAUUCAAUCAUCUUGCAAUAUUUUGCUCCAAUCUGAUUCAAAUAUCUAAAUACAAUUGGUCCCUUUCUUCAGCAAUAAAGCUAUACCAUACUGAAA
This is an RNA transcript of Oncorhynchus tshawytscha (Chinook salmon), 1663 nucleotides long. It is a transcript of the gene named adhesion G protein-coupled receptor E5-like, with no coding region annotated. The record is from RefSeq and is a predicted model, not a curated record. NCBI's taxonomy places the organism in Eukaryota, Metazoa, Chordata, Actinopteri, Salmoniformes, Salmonidae. The transcript has 12 exons.